AGACUCCGGCACUCUUAACGUGCAUCAAUGAGCUUGCAACUCAACAUGAACUUCACUACAGAGUC
This 65-nucleotide transfer RNA is filed under the name Phaethon rubricauda (red-tailed tropicbird). Its description in RNAcentral is "tRNA-Cys". The record is from RNAcentral. Lineage: Eukaryota; Metazoa; Chordata; Aves; Phaethontiformes; Phaethontidae.